RNAcentral lists this non-coding RNA (45 nucleotides) under Schistosoma mansoni. Lineage: Eukaryota; Metazoa; Platyhelminthes; Trematoda; Strigeidida; Schistosomatidae. The record is from RNAcentral.
AUCCGGCUGAUGAGUCCCAAAUAGGACGAAACGCUCGUCCUGGAU